UGGGAGGUAUCGGAAGAGUUUUCUUUUCUGUUUUACAAUCGUACGCACCAUGGAAGUCUUUCAUAGAGAGUUAUGGUAUAACAGAUUGGUAGAGCAUGGCAUUAAAUUGCUGUGUCGGUAC
Molecule: non-coding RNA, 121 nt
Filed under: Clunio marinus
Lineage: Eukaryota; Metazoa; Arthropoda; Insecta; Diptera; Chironomidae
Description: Eukaryotic large subunit ribosomal RNA
Rfam family: Eukaryotic large subunit ribosomal RNA
Source: Rfam by way of RNAcentral